Non-coding RNA from Coturnix japonica (Japanese quail), 4829 nucleotides. The record is from RefSeq and is a predicted model, not a curated record. Lineage: Eukaryota; Metazoa; Chordata; Aves; Galliformes; Phasianidae.
UUUGUGUGAAGAAAUAUUCUACUAAAUGAUGGACACUUGUGUAAUGUUCUUGGUCUUAUGGGAUCUUAUUAACGUAACUUUUUACAAAUUCAAAAGCAAGAAUAAUCUUGCUUCAUUUUAUUCCUUUCUGAGGUAUUUAAAUGUUCUUUGGGGCAAUGUGAUUUUCCUACGUUGGUUGGAGAAAUUCAGAUUUAAAAAGAAAAAUCUCUCUUUAGCCCAGACUUACAUAUUGGCUGCUCAGACAUUGCAUCUAUUUAAUUUGUUGGUAACUGGGAAGGGAAAGAAAAAAAUCUCAGUUCAGGUUUUAAUAGAGCUGCUUUAGUGCUGUGGUAAAUGACUUACCAUUCUCAUUUGUCCAAAUUCACUCAGUCCUGGGCCAGAGUAAAUGUUCCUGUGUUGUCAAUACAACAGUAGUAUUGUAUACAUUUGUAAUACAGAUUCUCUUCUCUGUUAUCAGUCCGCCUUUCUGAUUUUCCUUUUAUUGGCAAAAUUUUGUGUUUUAACAAGCAGAAGUUUUGAGGCAGGCCUGGCUGCUUUGUUCCUAUGGAAACAGAAGACUGUCUUCAAACAAACUGAGUUGCUGUGGCAACAUAGGUGCAUACAGAGGUGUGCUGAGGCAGUGUGGGGUCAUCCUCUUGCACUGUGGAAGCCAGUGCCGGAUGCCCCAGGAGGGAGAAAAGGAAACCCUUCUGCUGUGAAGAUAUCUUGGGGCACCUUAGGAGAGAAUACAGCUGGGACAUGACACAGGUGGUCUGCUCAUCACCUAGGAUGACACUUGUUUUAGCUGCUCCUCGCUGGGGUUAUCAAGUCAACAGAAAAAUGUUGCUCUGUGUGAAACAGGACACUGACAAGCCUAGAGUAUGUCUCAGAGAAACACUGUUGACUCUGUAUGUUUGUGCUGGCACUGAAUGUACUUCCCAGCCUGUCUGGCAGAUAGCCUGAUGCAACAAGGAUUGCUGCAGUGCACUUAGCUAAGAGCAUUUUGGAACAUCCACACAACCACCUGCAUAAACCCCAGGAGGAAAAGGUGUAGGACGUUCUUUUCAGCUGUGGUGCAGGAGGCGAGAUUCCAAGUGUCUUUACUCUGCAGUGCAGUCACAGCUCCCAGAAAGCUGUCUUAUGUUUAUUCCCACUACUCUGCAUGACUGACUGUGCUACAGUCCUUUCUCUCAUGAUCCGCCUGUCUGAGCAUAUUCCCAUCUAUCCCCCAGGGAGAGAAUGUAGCACACUCAAGCCUGCUUGAACUAUGAUUUCAGCUGCAACAGGCAGAGCAAGGACUGAACAGGGAACUGGGCGAAAUAAAGUCAAUCUAAACUUGUGGGUUAAUACCUGCAAGACAUGCCAAUAUUGAUGUGCCGGACAGCCCCUUACACCAAAGUGCAGAAUGUGGAUCUGUGAAAGAAUUACAGAGAGCUGCAGAAAAAGCUGCACUCAGAAACCCGGUGAUACUUUCAGUGGAAAGAUUUCCUUCCUUCAGCUUCAGAACAGGCAGCUUCAGGGACACCUGAAUAUCAGUGGCAGGUUCUGCGAGCACUGAUGGAAAGAUUUUAUGCUGUGACCAAUGCGCCAAAGAAGAGAGUUGUUGUGUUAAGAAGUUAAGAAGAGGUCUGGAUGAGAUAACAUAGGCUAGAUAGCUUGCCACAGCUGGGCAAAUGACUAUGAAGGCAGCCACAGGACUAAUCUGGCACGACGUGAAAGCACAGGCUGUAAGUAUUGUGGGCAACUUAUUUUUACUUUUCAGAAUUUAAAAUUGACUGAGAGGUAACUGCAAGUGUUGGAGGUGAGAGAGCUGUUCAAGGGUUCAGUUACGGAUGUUUGAUGUCUGUCAAGAAGGGCCGUAUGCUUCAACCACUGACACUAAAAAGAGACGUUGGUUUCUUCCAAGCUUAAGCCUCACUUUGUUUUUAAGGGAAUUAGGGCAAAUCAAACAGCUGUAAAUAAUUCAUAAAAUUGGAUUGCAAAUUUGGUGCUUAAAUAUAACUACAAAUUACAUGUAAUAUCUGCAUUGUGUUCAUGCAAGAAAAUUAAUCAUAUCAAGAUGCCAAUAAUCAUUUAGACAAGGUCAGAGCUGGUUCAUAUUUUAAACAUCUACGAGUGGUAAACUGGGCAUGACCUUACCUGAUGAUCAUUUUAGUUAUCAAAAGCUAGUUCAGAACAUUCAGGUUGUAGAGAGAACACAGAAUGAAGGCCACGCUAAGUCAAAAGGAAUGAAUGUUAUAGGUUUGUAAUUCCGAAUAAAUUGUGGAGCUUGAGGUACUUUCAGAGAAAAAUGGAAACAAUUUUUUGUUGACCUUGAAGCCUUGAAUUUGCUGCUACGCUUGGCCAUCAGCAACGCUGGAAAGGUCACUGAGGCAGCCUUUUCACAGGUCUGCAACUCUGAAAAGUUUCUUUGAAUGCAGUACAGGAAAAAAAAACCAAAAGGUAAAUAUGUUCAAGUUUGCUUCUUUAUAACUUUUUUUACAAACAUAGAAAUGCAUCCAAAUGCCUUUAUUCUUGUAACAUAAUACUACUUGGAAGAGAUCCUGGCAAGUCCCACUGUUGCCUUUCAUUUAAAUCACCUGAGAUAUGUAAGAACUGCAAGGCUCUUUUCCAAGACUGUUUUUGUUUGUUAGUUUCCUUUUGUUUUGUUUUGUUUUUUGAAGUGGUGGUAUCAAGUCUGAUUAAGUUCCAGUGUUUUUAUUUGUUUGCUUGCUUUUUAGAUGGCUGCUAAAAUUCAGGCAGCUACUGACUACAUGAAUCUAAAAAUCUGGUUGACAAUCUAUCUGCACUUUGUGCUUUAAUUGUAAGCACAGUCUUUAGCUGUAUGCACUAAACUCUGGACUGAUGCCAUGGUUGCAAAGCCAGAAGGGAGCAGAUGCUGCAGAUGAAGCUCCAUCCUCAUUCUGGUCAGCCACAAUCUGAAUGCAUGCAGCUCUCCACAUUCUCUCAGCAGAAUUCCUUUGCCUUUUAGAAAAUCCCACUGAUUUAUCUUUACUCAAGAGUUUGUGCCUCUGGAGUUCCACAUCUCAUCCAGAAAGAGCACAUUUGUUUUGUUGCUGUUACAGAAAAAUACGGAAUUCUGUAUUUUCACCAAUAGUAAGUGAAACUGACAUUGAGAACAUGAGAAAAUACUACAAAUCCGAUUCAUUAGUCUAGAUAUGCUUUCGUGUUGUUUGGCAUCUGCUGCAUUUGGCACCAAAGAUGCCUCUAAUCUUUCCUUGAAGAAGCAGAUCAAAGGAGAUGAGGUGGAAGUGCAGUAUUGGCUACAUGGAGCUUCCUUCUUGGAGAAGGAAUUGGAGUGCUGAGUUGUUUUUGAGCCUAAGAAACACAAACCAAAUCCUGAGUCAUGCUGCCUUUUAAAUGUCAAUGAAAUUAGUAGAAGGGAGGUUCCAUUGUGUUUAUUCAAUUCUGAUAGUGAUGCAUAAGCAUUGAUUCUAUGUUUCUUAGAUGAAGAUGGCAGCACUGUCCGAGAUCACAACUCUGCCUGGAGAGAACAUGUGAUGAAAACCUGUUUCACUGAUGUUCUUACUUGUAAAUGACCUGUAGUGAGUGCAAGAAGGCAAAGGGAUCUGAACCAUAGAGGCUGGUGCUAAAGAAGGAAGUUAACCAGGAAGUUCAAUGGCAGGAAGAUUGGAUGUUUCUCAUACAAGACCUUGAGCUACAUCUCAAGUCCUACACAUUUAGGAUCUUGUGAAUUGGCAGAGGAGCACAGAGCGUUGGGCUAAGUAUUUCCUGCAGACUCCUUUCUCAUCUGUGCUUGGAAGUGGCACAGCUUGCUCAAAAACAAUAGCCAUAGGUUAGGGCUGUAGAAAGCUGGGAUCUGUAUGUUUUAGCCCAAGCAGAGCAGAGUAGUUAAGUUUGUGCUUCAUUUCCUCAUUGGUUUCUUUGUGAUUUCAUCUCUUAGCCCUUGGGCUGGAGUAAAAAGCAGUGCAGCGGUGAUGAUAGUGGCCCCAUAUUACCGCUAUCAUGGGGACCUGCGGUACAGGAACAGCUUGAGUUGUUAACAUGUAGCUAACAGCUUCUGGUUUAAUUGCACUGCCUAGCCCACUGAGAUGAUGUAUCAAGCUUACUUAGCCUUGGACUCCUCAGUUCAAAAUGUUGCUGCUUUCUGUGCCUGUUUGUCUUCUGGGCUCUUCAUAGUUUGCAAGAGGCCAGCAGUUUGUUUAUUCUACGAAGUCUAUCAGGUGUUCAGAUUCCACAGCAGUAAGCAGAAUAGAAACAUGAAAAAUUAAUGUAGUUUUUGAUUGAAAACGUGCCUCGUUGCUUGCAUCUUCCUCAUUGGUAGUUUAUCUUGCUUCAGAUAUUAAUAAGUAGGUUGACCGGUCUGCAUAAAUUUACUGUUGUGCGUGCAGGUCAGAUUUGGAGGUGGUUGUUGCUGGUUACAUACAAGGCCAGUUCCAGAUGUACACAAAACCAGAUUUGCCUUGGUGGCCCCAGUGGCAGCUUAAACCACGAAGCCGUGCUUCAGACAUGGUGUGUGUCCAGUUUUUCCCUUAGAGAACCUUGGUGUCAGAGUGAAAGUGGCAUAUUGAAACGCUUCUAACACAGAAAAAUCUAGGAACUCUGGUGGUCGUCUGGUCUGAUCUCCUGCUCAAAGCAUGUUCAAUUAAAUCAGGUGCGAGAUGUCUGCCCUGAGGUUGAUUUCUAACAGAACCUCCCAGCAGGCCUUGUCUAACUCUGAUUACACCUGGGAAUAUGAGUACUACGAGUAUGGACCGGUGUCAUUUGAAGGCCUGAAGGCUCAUAAAUGUAAGUUCAGUUCAGAUGCAUUUUAUUUCAGCUGUGUUUCCCUAUCUUAAAGUUCCUGCUCUUCACUUAGAAGUGAUUAUUGUACUGAAAUCUGUUUAUUA